This 466-nucleotide ribosomal RNA is filed under the name uncultured bacterium. RNAcentral's name for it is "partial 16S ribosomal RNA". It matches the Rfam family "Bacterial small subunit ribosomal RNA", at positions 28 to 507 of the family's 1533-position model. The record is from RNAcentral.
GACGAACGCUGGCGGCGUGCUUAACACAUGCAAGUCGAACGGAAAGGCCUCUUUCGGGGGGUACUCGAGUGGCGAACGGGUGAGUAACACGUGAGUAACCUGCCCUUGACUUUGGGAUAACUUCAGGAAACUGGGGCUAAUACCGGAUAGGAGCUCCUGCUGCCUGGUGGGGGUUGGAAAGUUUCGGCGGGUGGGGGUGGACUCGCGGCUUAUCAGCUUCUUGGUGGGGUAGUGGCUUACCAAGGCUUUGGCGGGUAGCCGGCCUGAGAGGGUGUCGGGCAACGUUGGGACUGAGACAGGGGCCAGCAGCGGAGGGGAGGGCACAGUGGGGAAAAGUCAGAAGGGGGGGAGACGCGGGAGGGAGAGCGCCCGUUGGGGGGUAACGCCCUUUGGUUAGUAAACCGGUUCUGCCCAUGAUGAGGGUUUGUUGAAGGUAGGUGGAUAAAAAACGCCCGCUAAAUAAGUG